CAGCCGCCGCGGGAAUACGAAGGGUGCAAGCGUUAAUCGGAAUUACUGGGCGUAAAGCGUGCGUAGGCGGUUUGUUAAGUCUGCUGUGAAAUCCCCGGGCUCAACCUGGGAAUGGCAGUGGAUACUGGCAAGCUAGAGUGUGUCAGAGGAUGGUGGAAUUCCCGGUGUAGCGGUGAAAUGCGUAGAGAUCGGGAGGAACAUCAGUGUCGAAGGCGGCCAUCUGGGACAACACUGACGCUGAGGCACGAAAGCGUGGGGAGCAAACAGGAUUAGAUACCCCCGUAGUCCCUGUCUCUUAUAC
This 301-nucleotide ribosomal RNA is filed under the name uncultured bacterium. Its description in RNAcentral is "partial 16S ribosomal RNA". It matches the Rfam family "Bacterial small subunit ribosomal RNA", at positions 509 to 807 of the family's 1533-position model. The record is from RNAcentral.